CGGACGGGUGAGUAAUGUCUGGGAAACUGCCCGAUGGAGGGGGAUAACUACUGGAAACGGUAGCUAAUACCGCAUAACGUCGCAAGACCAAAGAGGGGGACCUUAGGGCCUCUUGCCAUCGGAUGUGCCCAGAUGGGAUUAGCUAGUAGGUGGGGUAACGGCUCACCUAGGCGACGAUCCCUAGCUGGCCUGAGAGGAUGACCAGCCACACUGGAACUGAGACACGGUCCAG
This 232-nucleotide ribosomal RNA is filed under the name uncultured bacterium. RNAcentral describes it as "partial 16S ribosomal RNA". It matches the Rfam family "Bacterial small subunit ribosomal RNA", at positions 99 to 334 of the family's 1533-position model. The record is from RNAcentral.